Molecule: ribosomal RNA, 322 nt
Filed under: uncultured eukaryote
Lineage: Eukaryota
Description: partial 18S ribosomal RNA
Rfam family: Eukaryotic small subunit ribosomal RNA
Source: RNAcentral
CCCUUAGAUGUUCUGGGCCGCACGCGUGCUACACUGAGUGGAUCAGCGGGUCAGGUUGCGCGAAAGCGUUUCCUAAUCUUUAAAUCCGCUCGUGAUGGGGAUUGACGGUUGCAAUUUUCUGUCAUGAACGAGGAAUACCUUGUAAGCGCGGGUCAUCAUCCCGCGCUGAAUACGUCCCUGCCCUUUGUACACACCGCCCGUCGCUCCUACCGAUUGAGUGGUCCGGUGAGGCUUUGGGAUCUGAGCGGAAAGAGCGUUUCGCUGUUUCUGCUCGGAAAACUCAGUGGAACCUUAUCAUUUAGAGGAAGGAGAAGUCGUAACA